GAGCAUUUGUAAUGCACCUGCUCUCACAGCAGACGAGGGCCUGGUCCCCAGAGCUGAUCCGCAAGGGUUGGAGCCAGACAAUCAACCAGGAAACCAGGGCAAGUGUUCAGGCUGGUGACGGGGGUGACAAGUAGAGGGCUGGUGUCUGGGAUGCAGCCACCUCGGAGGCCGGGCCCUGAGCCGCUGACCAAAGCCACUUUGGGGAGGUGACCAGAGGCCGGAGGUCAGUGUGUGAAGCUCUUUAGGGGAAGUGUCCCAGGCAGAGGGAAGCCAAGGAAGAGCUGACGUGGCCGAGGGACGAGGAAGACCAGGGCGGUGAGAGCCGAGGAGGGUGGGAGGCAGGGCUGGAGUCGGAAGGACUCCUGAGGACAGUAGUGGCUUUCCCAGGGCAGCUGACAUGACUCCUCACCCCUCUCUGGCGAGGGCUCGGCGGGUACAGCCUGUGCACAGAGUACUUUCUAGUUGGCAUAGCACUUGUUCACGCAUCAGCUCAGUGGAUCUUCCCAGCGAACCUGGAACCUGGGCCCAUUGGCUAGGAGGCUCAGAGAUGCCAAGGAGUGACAAUAACCAUGACUUGCUGCCCUUGACCGAGCACUUUUAAGCCUCACUAAAGGCACAGUGGGAUGUUGAACCACCCGAGCAAGCAUCUCCUUUAAUCUUCUGCAGCGUUAUGAAGUAGAAUUGACUAUCGUUCCUAUUUUAGAAGCAGAGCUACAGAAGCCCGAAAAGGAUAAUGGACUUGCCCGAGGUCACACAGCAGCAAAUUUAGACCUAGAACCCACUUCUUGAAUCCUGGUGCAGUGUUCUGACCAGCUCUCGGAAACUGAAAAAAAAAAAAAAAAUUGCUGUAUUUCAAUAGACCUACAGCAUCAUUGAACAUAGAUAUACCACGACUUUCUAUACCCUAGGAGAUAAAAAUGCCAUCCGUUUAACUAAGAUGUAGUCAUUUAUCACUUAGAAUUUCAAAAUUUCCUACUAAGUAAAAGAGCUCAGACUUAGAUGCAUAUCAUAUAGAUAUACAAGCAUAUAUGUCUAUAUCAUGCAUAGAUAUCACUCUUGUGCAUUCAUGAAAGGAAAUUUAUAUGAAAAUAAAUGUAUGUGAAAUGAAACCA
This 1112-nucleotide long non-coding RNA is filed under the name Sus scrofa (pig). RNAcentral's name for it is "lncRNA (ENSSSCG00070026884.1)". The record is from RNAcentral. Lineage: Eukaryota; Metazoa; Chordata; Mammalia; Artiodactyla; Suidae.